Non-coding RNA from Macaca mulatta (Rhesus monkey), 1931 nucleotides. The record is from RefSeq and is a predicted model, not a curated record. NCBI's taxonomy places the organism in Eukaryota, Metazoa, Chordata, Mammalia, Primates, Cercopithecidae.
GGUCGGAGCACCUGAGCCAAAUGGCCUGAGACUCUGAUCCUCAUGAGGGUCACCUGCCACCAAAUGCUCUCUCCUGGGCGCUGCCAUUCGGUUUGUUACGUCUGCACUGAGCUGGCCCUUCCAUCUCCCAAGCACCCAAUGUUCACCGCCCCUCCUUGGCAUGUGUGCCCCCUCCACCCAACACACACCCUCCAGCGCAGGGCGAGAUGGGGGCCACCUGAAGCUGGGCCCUGAACUUCAAAGUUGGGAGAACCUGAGUCACUCAUCCCAGCAAGGUGAGCUUCCAAGAAACCCCACUCCCACACUACCCCUGUCUUCCCAUAGGUUGUCCCUGGGUCCUGCUAGAAUCUCAGAGAGACAUGGGACUAUAAGUUAUCCAAAUUCUGGAAUAGCCAGAACAAGUGAGUGAAAUGCACCUUUGCCUGCCUGUGAAGGGCCAGCUUCCGCCCGGGCACCAGAGACACAAAGAUGAAUAGAAUCCUUCCUGCUCCCAAUGACCUCAUUUACUAAGGAAGGAGAGAGACAGGAACUCACUGCUUAAGGGCUACGUUUAUUCAUUCCUCUAUCCAGCAAAUUCUUCAGGACUCCAGCUGUGUGCCCAGCAUCAUGCGAGAGCUGGGACUUUAAUUUUCAGUAAGAUCUGCUUUUUCCUUUAAGGAGUUUGCAUCUAAGAAGGAAGCAGGCAGCACCGGAGCAGUUACCCCACAGUGCCGCGAUCCUGGCGAGCGCAUGAGCUACAGGAAACGCGAGGAGAGGAUCCAACUCAGUCUGGAAGGCUCAGUGAGCUGUGCUGGGAUCUCCGGUGUGAACUGCGCCCUAAGCACAGACUGAAGCAAGCUCCCUUACCCUUCUGACCCUGCUUCCUGCCUCUGCUUAUCACCCGCCCUGGGUUCAGAGUGUGAGAUGCCGGGGCUCUGUGACUCUUCACUUCCAACGGCUCCCUGCAGCCCGUGCCGGCCACCACUUCAGCACUGGUGAAUGCUAAAGUGAACGAAAAGGAGAUGGGACUCCAACUUUGUAGUGAAAACCACGCACUGUCUUAUUGAUGUGCACCCUGUCUAACCCGAACUAUUUUUGAUGAAGUGCUUCACCAAGAUGUGGUUUGGGGGAGGGGUAGAACAGGAGAGGAUGAGGAGUAGAGGAGAGCAGGACUCUUCCUCCUCCGCAGAAGGAAACCUGUGAAAACAUGUGGGACCCCAGGCUACCGCUCAGUAGAGUCCUCGAGGUGUUUAUAUUUGCCCAGCGCUGCACUCAUGACAGAUUAUUUUGCCUGCAGGGUCUUAACAACAUUUGGUAGGUGGUCUUGUAAAGGAAAGCAAAUAUUUAAGGCUUUUCUCCUUCCCUCUCCCUAAUUGUUUAUGUGGGGAGAGAGGUACCAGUUGCUCCUGAUAAGAGCAGGCCACAGCCCCAGGCAGCUGGCGCAGCACACGCCUCCGUGUGAGGAACUCUGGCCUGCUGUGGUGAGCACUGCACUGACGUCACUGCCCCCUGGGAGGAGGCUCCCAGUUAAGUGGGGAAAAUGUAUCUGAAAAUGUCGAAGCAGAUUGCUUCCAUUGUCAGGGCAUUUGAGGGAAACAUCUAUGAAAUCGGUAUAGCCCAGAUGUCUUUAUACGCACAUGCUUAGCAAAUCAGGAUUUAACAGAUGGCAUGAAUAUAUACACUUUGCAUAUCUAAAGAUGCUUAUACGAUUAAAUGUAAGUGAUUUUGAAUUUGUGUACCAUACACAUCUUGCAAAAGAAAAGCCAACCAAUUACAUGGUCCAUGUUAUGGUUUACAUAUGUGACCAUCAUUAUAAAUUAUGUCUAUCAGGCACUUACAGGGAGUUGAAUUAGUUACUGUACAAAGCACACAGCCCUGUUUAGGAAUUUAUGAUCCAGGGAAAACGGUGUUGCCUGCAAGGGAAUUAAAGACUGUAUCAUCCGUAAUAACAA